CCUACGGGCGGCAGCAGUGAGGAAUAUUGGUCAAUGGACGCGAGCCUGAACCAGCCAAGUAGCGUGAAGGAUGACUGCCCUACGGGUUGUAAACUUCUUUUAUAAAGGAAUAAAGUGAGGCACGUGUGGGAUUUUGUAUGUACUAUAUGAAUAAGGAUCGGCUAACUCCGUGCCAGCAGCCGCGGUAAUACGGAGGAUCCGAGCGUUAUCCGGAUUUAUUGGGUUUAAAGGGAGUGUAGGUGGGUUGUUAAGUCAGUUGUGAAAGUUUGCGGCUCAACCGUAAAAUUGCACUUGAUACUGGCAGUCUUUAGUACAGUUGAGCUAGGCGGAAUUCGUGUUGUAGCGGU
This 347-nucleotide ribosomal RNA is filed under the name uncultured bacterium. Its description in RNAcentral is "partial 16S ribosomal RNA". It matches the Rfam family "Bacterial small subunit ribosomal RNA", at positions 338 to 682 of the family's 1533-position model. The record is from RNAcentral.